This 497-nucleotide ribosomal RNA is filed under the name uncultured bacterium. RNAcentral describes it as "partial 16S ribosomal RNA". It matches the Rfam family "Bacterial small subunit ribosomal RNA", at positions 28 to 507 of the family's 1533-position model. The record is from RNAcentral.
GACGAACGCUGGCGGCGUGCCUAAUACAUGCAAGUAGAACGCUGAAGAGAGGAGCUUGCUCUUCUUGGAUGAGUUGCGAACGGGUGAGUAACGCGUAGGUAACCUGCCUGUUAGCGGGGGAUAACUAUUGGAAACGAUAGCUAAUACCGCAUAAUAUUUAUUAUUGCAUGAUAAUUAAUUGAAAGAUGCUACUGCAUCACUACCAGAUGGACCUGCGUUGUAUUAGCUAGGUGGUGAGGUAACGGCGCAACAAGGCGACGAUACAUAGCCGACCUGAGAGGGUGAACGGCCAAACUGGGAAUGAGACACGGCCCCGAAUCCUACGGGAGGGAGAAGUAGGGAAUUCUUGGCAAAGGGGGGAACGCUGAACGGGGAACGCCGGGUGAAUGAAGAAGGUUUUCGGAUCGGAAAGAUCCGUUGUAAGAGAAGAAAGGGUGUGAGAGUGGAAAGUUCACAUUGUGACGGUAUCUUACCAGAAAGGGACGGCUAACUGCGUG